This is a long non-coding RNA of Mya arenaria, 274 nucleotides long. RefSeq lists it as uncharacterized. The transcript is spliced from 4 exons. The record is from RefSeq and is a predicted model, not a curated record. Lineage: Eukaryota; Metazoa; Mollusca; Bivalvia; Myida; Myidae.
GGAAGGCAGGAAAGAGUACCAGUCUUAUAGUCUGUAUGUACUCGUGGCAAAAUGGUGUUCGAAAGGUGGCGAAUAAGGAUUUGCUUGCAGCAUUGAAGAACGAUAAUACAUACUACCAACAUGCCAUAUGAAGUUGCUGAGAAAAUACCAUUUGGUUCCAUACAGAGGAAGUUAAUUUCAUCACUAACGACUCGGACAGAAUGCUUCCACUGUAGAGCAAAGCCUGGAAAGAUUGAAGGACAGAUUUGGGAAAAGGAAAGCAGCCAUGAAGGUG